GCCCAUGUAGCUCAGUCGGUAGAGCGUUAGGCUUUUAACCUAAACGUCCAGGGUUCGACCCCCUGCGUGGGCG
Molecule: non-coding RNA, 73 nt
Organism: Trichuris trichiura (human whipworm)
Lineage: Eukaryota; Metazoa; Nematoda; Enoplea; Trichinellida; Trichuridae
Source: Rfam